GAUGAACGCUGGCGGCGUGCCUAAUACAUGCAAGUCGAGCGAACAGACGAGGAGCUUGCUCCUCUGACGUUAGCGGCGGACGGGUGAGUAACACGUGGAUAACCUACCUAUAAUACUGGGAUAACUUAGGGAAACCGUAGCUAAUACCGGAUAAUAUAUUGAACCGCAUGAAUCAAUAGUGAAAGACGGUUUUGCUGUCAACUAUAGAUGGAUCCGCGCCGCAUUGGCGAGUUGGUAAGGUAACGGCUUCCCAAGGCAACGAUGCGUAGCCGACAUGAGAGGCGGCUAGGCGAGCCGGGAACUGCGACACGGUCCAGACUCCUACGGGAGCCCUCAGUGGGAAACCUGCCGCGAUGGGCGAAAGCUUGACCGAGCAACGCCGCGUGCCUGAGGAAGGCCUUCGCAUAGUAAAACUCUUUGAUUGUGGAAACCCAACUGUGUAAGUCACGAUCCACGUCUUGACCUUACCGAAUGAGAACGCAACGGCUAACUACGUG
This 497-nucleotide ribosomal RNA is filed under the name uncultured bacterium. RNAcentral describes it as "partial 16S ribosomal RNA". It matches the Rfam family "Bacterial small subunit ribosomal RNA", at positions 28 to 507 of the family's 1533-position model. The record is from RNAcentral.